Molecule: transfer RNA, 72 nt
Filed under: Camelus bactrianus (Bactrian camel)
Lineage: Eukaryota; Metazoa; Chordata; Mammalia; Artiodactyla; Camelidae
Also listed under: 2 other names
Rfam family: tRNA
About the family: Transfer RNA (tRNA) molecules are approximately 80 nucleotides in length. Their secondary structure includes four short double-helical elements and three loops (D, anti-codon, and T loops).
Source: Rfam by way of RNAcentral
GGGGGUAUAGCUCCAUGGUAGAGUGUGUGCUUAGCAUGCACAAGAUCCUGGGUUCAAUCCCCAGUACCUCCA